Molecule: long non-coding RNA, 983 nt
Filed under: Monodelphis domestica (gray short-tailed opossum)
Lineage: Eukaryota; Metazoa; Chordata; Mammalia; Didelphimorphia; Didelphidae
Description: lncRNA (ENSMODG00000041674.1)
Source: RNAcentral
CAUAAUAAUUAAAAUUGUUUAAGUGCUUAAUAAAUGCUAAUUAGCUAACUGGAUUUUUUUUUUUUAGUUUGUUCCAGUUUUAUAUGAUUUUGACCAAGUCUCUUUAGUCCAGUGGGCCUUGGUUAGUUUCCUGAUCUGUGAAAUGAGAGGACUGGACUAGGAUGAUCUGUCAAGUACCUUGAAACUCUAAAAUUCUGCUAUUCCAUUAACUUCUGGUGCUUACUUAUAUUCCACAUCAAAAAAUGCCAGAAAGCUGAAGCUGGAGAGGAUUUUCAAGACAGUCUAGUCCAACCUCUUCAUUUACGGAUGAGGAAAAUGGGUCUCAGAGAUGAAGUGACUUCUCCAAAAUCACUAAAGUAGAAAUAAAUCCUCAAUAACAUUAUGAAGGAAGUUCUACUGGAAUUAUCAUUCCUAUUUUACAGAAAAGGAAACUGGGGCUCUGGGAUCCAACUCCAAGUCAUGCAACUAGCACCAGAGGCAGUAUUUGGAUCUAGAGCUUCCCAAGCUUCUAGGUACAUAUCAGACCAGCCCUUCUAAGGUAGAGCAAGGUUCAAAUGAAAGCAGGUAAGUUUUUAUAUUUCACUUAUUUUUGUAUUGCAUUCUGGACAGAAAUCAGUAGCAUUUGGAAGAUAUAUUUUCUCAAAGUACAUGGUAAGUCAAUAGCAAUAUAAACAAUGGGCAGUCAAAAAAGAUCAAAAGGGUGCCAAAUACAAGCUCUUAGAGGUCAAAGGAUUAGAAACUAGAACUCUGCUUUAAUACUCUUAUGAUUUAUUUCUGAAUACUGCCUUAUAAGUAUAACAUUGUAUAUUGAGAGGUUUUUCAGUACCUCAAGGUUGGAUUGAGACUCACAUUCUACUAAAUUCCACUUUAGGUAUUAUACGUGUGAAUGCUACACUUUUGAUUACAAAGCCACGAAAUGAGGGAGAUAUUUCUACUUUCAGAUUUCUAAUGAAAAUAUUUGUGUAUAUAAUGGAGGGACAACU